RNAcentral lists this long non-coding RNA (987 nucleotides) under Pongo abelii (Sumatran orangutan). Its description in RNAcentral is "lincRNA". The record is from RNAcentral. Lineage: Eukaryota; Metazoa; Chordata; Mammalia; Primates; Hominidae.
GUGAAGCGCCCUCAGUGGGGAGGACUUCCAGAGUCCUGGGGACACAAAGGCUGGCAUCCUGGGGACAGGAGAGGUAGGCAGCACGGCCCAUAGGGCCUUGUAGACCCCAGGUUAGGAGCGGGGUUUUAUUCUGGUGUUCUGGGACCUCGUGGGAAGGUUUCUAAGCCGUGCAGGGCCCCAGCCUGGCCUGCUGGGGCUGCAUCCUGUGUCUACUGCUGGUCAGAGAACUGACUGGGGUUGGGGGAAGGGAAGCCCUGCUUUUAGCCAGGUGGCAGCUGGUGGAGGCCUGCCCUGAGGGUGGGUAGCCCUGGGAAGUUGUGUGUAGGGAGGGACCAGGUCAAGGACGGCCCUGUUCUUUCACGCUGAGCUCCUGGCUGGCCCUGGGAGUGGCUGUUGCCUGUGAAGGUAGAGUGCUGGGUUGGAUCUCUCCGUGCCUUCAAGGAGCUCCCGGCUCUGGGAUCAAUGCAGAGGAGAGUGGUACAGGCGAUGCACAGGAGAGAAGCUGGGUGGUCCCUGGGCCUGGCCUGGGCCUGCAGGGGGCUUUGCACCCCCGACCACGGCCUCUUCCCUCAGUCUGUGGCCUCCUCCCUCUUCCCAGUGCUGCUGAGUGAGUGGUGGUCAUUAUUCCCACCAAGUCCAGGGCUUUCCUCCUCUACAGACAGGGAGUAUCAGUUACUUCUAAGGAUUAAACUGGAAAAGGAUUCAAGCCAGCACUGCCAGGAAGGGCUUUUGACAUGCCUGCAUUAAGGGAAGAUAUAUCAUUCCAGUGAGCAUUUAAAUACUGAUUACAUCUUUUGCUUUGUAAAUAACUCAAUGGUAAAUUUUUACAAUAUUGUUUUUACAGAGACUGUAAUGAGGAGGCAAUUUUUCUCCCCCAUCACUUGGAUAUUAAGCUUUUUAAUGAGAGUACACAAAUGACUAUAUAAAACUUGGGAUGGUGAGAGCUGAGUUGGGACUUAAUGCGAAAUUAAAGUUGUGCAGGCUCCA